UUCGCAAUGCCCGAAAGGGUGACGAAGCGACGCCGCGUGUGGGAUGAAGGCCUUCGGGUUGUAAACCACUGUCGGGAGUUAAGAAUUGUAGGAAUGCUAAUAGUAUUUCUACUUGACUAAGGCUCCGGAGGAAGCCACGGCUAACUCUGUGCCAGCAGCCGCGGUAAUACAGAGGCGGCAAGCGUUGUUCGGAAUUAUUGGGCGUAAAGAGCACGUAGGCGGCUAUGUAAGUCGGUUGUGAAAGCCUUCCGCUCAACGGAAGAACAGCAUCCGAUACUACAUGGCUUGAGUGCGGGAGGGGAGAGUGGAACUUCUGGUGGAGCGGUGAAAUGCGUAGAUAUCAGAAGGAACGCCGGCGGCGAAAGCGGCUCUCUGGCCCAUAACUGACGCUGAGUGUGCGAAAGCUAGGGGAGCAAACGGGAUUAGAUACCCCGGUAGUCCUAGCCGUAAACGAUGGGCACUAAGUAGAGGGGUUUU
RNAcentral lists this ribosomal RNA (477 nucleotides) under uncultured bacterium. RNAcentral's name for it is "bacterial SSU rRNA". It matches the Rfam family "Bacterial small subunit ribosomal RNA", at positions 365 to 832 of the family's 1533-position model. The record is from RNAcentral.